GAUGAACGCUAGCGACAGGCCUAACACAUGCAAGUCGGAGGGGCAGCGCGUUGAGUAGCGAUACGAGAUGGCGGCGACCGGCGCGACGGGUGCGUAACAGGUGUGCAAUCUGUCCAUAAGUCGGGGAAUAGCCCGGACGAAAACCGGAUUAACGCUCCAUGUGAGUAACCACCGCAUGAUGGUUAUUUGAAACGCAAGGAUAAUGGUUGAGCACGUCUUCUGAUUAGGUAGUUGGUGAGGUAACGGCUCACCAAGCCGA
RNAcentral lists this ribosomal RNA (259 nucleotides) under uncultured bacterium. Its description in RNAcentral is "partial 16S ribosomal RNA". It matches the Rfam family "Bacterial small subunit ribosomal RNA", at positions 28 to 276 of the family's 1533-position model. The record is from RNAcentral.